GCGACACUAGCUCAGUUGGUAGAGCACAACCUUACCAAGGUUGAGGUCACGCCUUUUUUUUAUGAAUAGGGAACCUCAUGUGUCGCUCCA
This 90-nucleotide transfer RNA is filed under the name Vibrio japonicus. Its description in RNAcentral is "tRNA-Gly". It matches the Rfam family "tRNA". Rfam says of the family: Transfer RNA (tRNA) molecules are approximately 80 nucleotides in length. Their secondary structure includes four short double-helical elements and three loops (D, anti-codon, and T loops). Lineage: Bacteria; Pseudomonadati; Pseudomonadota; Gammaproteobacteria; Vibrionales; Vibrionaceae. The record is from RNAcentral.